GUGAAUCAUCAAAUUUUUGAACGCAUAUUGCACUCUCUGGUAUUCCGGAGAGUAUGCCUGUUUGAGGGUAAUUAACCCGAAUCUUUCACCCAUUUUUUUUGGUCCCAGGAAAUGAGCUCUCCGCGUUUAUAGCGGUAGCUUGAAAUAACUGGUCAAGUCUCAUUUUAGUCGCGACGCGUAAUAAUAUUAUUUCGCGAAAUCUUCAUUAUGUGACUAUCAAGUUUUGCUGCCUACAACUUUGCUUUGUAUUCUAUCAAUACAAAUCUUUUGAACCUUACCUCAAAUCAGGU
Molecule: unclassified non-coding RNA, 290 nt
Filed under: Ambisporaceae sp.
Lineage: Eukaryota; Fungi; Glomeromycota; Glomeromycetes; Archaeosporales; Ambisporaceae
Description: partial contains 5.8S ribosomal RNA and internal transcribed spacer 2
Rfam family: 5.8S ribosomal RNA (bases 1-71)
Source: RNAcentral